AGAGUUUGAUCCUGGCUCAGAAUGAACGCUGGCGGCGUGCUUAACACAUGCAAGUCGGAUGUGCCGCAAGGUGCAUGGCAGACGGGUGAGUAACGCGUAGGGAACCUACCUCUUUGUGGGGAAUAACGUUCCGAAAGGAAUGGUAAUACCGCAUGAGAUCCACGACUGGGAUGUUGUGGAUGAAAGCCGGGGAUCGAAAGACCUGGCGCAAGGAGAGGGUCCUGCGUCUGAUUAGCUAGUUGGUGGGGUAACGGCCUACCAAGGCGACGAUCAGUAGCCGGCCUGAGAGGGUGAUCGGCCACACUGGAACUGAGACACGGUCCAGACUCCUACGGGAGGCAGCAGUGGGGAAUUUUGCGCAAUGGACGAAAGUCUGACGCAGCAACGCCGCGUGGGUGAUGAAGGUCUUCGGAUUGUAAAACCCUGUCGUCAGGGACGAAGGUUGGGAUCCUAAUACGAUUUCAGCUUGACGGUACCUGGAGAGGAAGCCCCGGCUAACUCUGUGCCAGCAGCCGCGGUAAUACAGAGGGUGCAAGCAUUAUCCGGAGUGACUGGGCGUAAAGAGUUGCGUAGGUGGUCUGUUAAGUGAAUAGUGAAAUCUGGUGGCUCAACCACACAGACUAUUAUUCAAACUGGCAGACUCGAGAGUAGCAGAGGUAACUGGAAUUUCCUGUGUAGGAGUGAAAUCCGUAGAUAUAGGAAGGAACACCAAUGGCGUAGGCAGGUUACUAGGCUAUUUCUGACACUGAGGCACGAAAGCGUGGGGAGCGAACCGGAUUAGAUACCCUGGUAGUCC
This 796-nucleotide ribosomal RNA is filed under the name uncultured bacterium. RNAcentral describes it as "bacterial SSU rRNA". It matches the Rfam family "Bacterial small subunit ribosomal RNA", at positions 8 to 796 of the family's 1533-position model. The record is from RNAcentral.